UGGAAAGAAGCGAGUGACUCCCCUCUCCUC
RNAcentral lists this non-coding RNA (30 nucleotides) under Mus musculus (house mouse). The record is from RNAcentral. Lineage: Eukaryota; Metazoa; Chordata; Mammalia; Rodentia; Muridae.